This 206-nucleotide long non-coding RNA is filed under the name Elaeis guineensis (African oil palm). Its description in RNAcentral is "long non-coding RNA (EGUI_LNC041111)". Lineage: Eukaryota; Viridiplantae; Streptophyta; Magnoliopsida; Arecales; Arecaceae. The record is from RNAcentral.
UAGAUCUAGUUCAUAUGCUAAAAUUAACAUUAACUGAUUUUAGGAUGAAUAAAGAAAAGUCUGUGAUCAAUUCAUAUACUUAAAUCACUUUUUCUUUGCUUCAAAUCUGUAAUUGAGGUUGAAUCAAAUUCAAUCCCUAGAUCUGGGAUUGAUCAGAUUCUGAAUCAGCAGUACAAGCAUUCUGCCUCUACCAAUAUCUACCGGAU